CCAGGAUGGUGUGUUCCUUUCCUUUUCUGUAGAGAAGCUGAAGUUUAGGAAUCCUUCAGUGCCAACUGGUGUUUGAAAGUAGAGGCCUUAAAGGUUUGCCUAGAGAACCAGCAGUUUCAGAGUUAACUUUAGAUGUUUUGCAACGGAAGGUUUUUAAACACUAAAAUAUAUAAUUUAUAGUUAAGGCUAAAAAAGAAUAUUUAUUGCAGAGGGUGUUUGUAAGGCCAGUAUGAUUUAUAAAGUAAUGCAAUCUCCCCUUGAUUUUGGAGAGGCAUCAGUUUCGAGGACAACUAGGAUGCUUGGAGACAAGUUCAGUUCUAAUACGAUCUCUGACCCCUCCUUUCAUAAAAAAAACUUAGCAACCGAUAGGUAAUUUGCACAUCUUGGCUGUGUACCUUUUUGUAAUUAUCCUGU
This 414-nucleotide long non-coding RNA is filed under the name Bos taurus (domestic cattle). RNAcentral describes it as "long non-coding RNA NONBTAT017718". Lineage: Eukaryota; Metazoa; Chordata; Mammalia; Artiodactyla; Bovidae. The record is from RNAcentral.